UUGAACGCUGGCGGCAGGCCUAACACCUGCCCGUCGAGCGGAUGAAGGGAGCUUGCUCCUGGAUUCAGCGGCGGACGGGUGAGUAAUGCCUAGGAAUCUGCCUGGUAGUGGGGGAUAACGUCCGGAAACGGGCGCUAAUACCGCAUACGUCCUGAGGGAGAAAGUGGGGGAUCUUCGGACCUCACGCUAUCAGAUGAGCCUAGGUCGGAUUAGCUAGUUGGUGGGGUAAAGGCCUACCAAGGCGACGAUCCGUAACUGGUCUGAGAGGAUGAUCAGUCACACUGGAACUGAGACACGGUCCAGACUCCUACGGGAGGCAGCAGUGGGGAAUAUUGGACAAUGGGCGAAAGCCUGAUCCAGCCAUGCCGCGUGUGUGAAGAAGGUCUUCGGAUUGUAAAGCACUUUAAGUUGGGAGGAAGGGCAGUAAGUUAAUACCUUGCUGUUUUGACGUUACCAACAGAAUAAGCACCGGCUAACUUCGUG
This 483-nucleotide ribosomal RNA is filed under the name uncultured bacterium. RNAcentral describes it as "partial 16S ribosomal RNA". It matches the Rfam family "Bacterial small subunit ribosomal RNA", at positions 30 to 507 of the family's 1533-position model. The record is from RNAcentral.